This 689-nucleotide ribosomal RNA is filed under the name uncultured marine eukaryote. Its description in RNAcentral is "SSU rRNA". It matches the Rfam family "Eukaryotic small subunit ribosomal RNA", at positions 617 to 1304 of the family's 1831-position model. The record is from RNAcentral.
GGUUAAAAAGCUCGUAGUUGGAUCUCGGCAAGUAGAGGGCGGUAUGCUUCGUAGCAUUACUGCCCUAUUACUUGUAGCUUUGCCAGAGGUUCCUGGGUGCUCUUAAUCGAGUGUCUAGGGAUGCUGGCAGGUUUACUUUGAAAAAAUUAGAGUGCUCAAAGCAGGCUAUUACGCUUGAAUAUUCGUGCAUGGAAUAAUAGAAUAGGAAGUUGUUUCUAUUUUGUUGGUUUUCGGUAAUCGACUUAAUGAUUAAUAGGGACAGUCGGGGGCAUUUGUAUUCAAACGACAGAGGUGAAAUUCUCGGACCGUUUGAAGACAAACUACUGCGAAAGCAUUUGCCAAGAAUGUUUUCAUUAAUCAAGAACGAAAGUUAGAGGUUCGAAGGCGAUUAGAUACCGCCCUAGUUCUAACCAUAAACGAUGCCAGCUAGCGAUCUGAGGACGUUUUUUUUGUAGACUCCUCAGGAAGCUUCCGGGAAACCAAAGCGUGUGGGUUCCGGGGGAAGUAUGGUUGCAAAGCUGAAACUUAAAGGAAUUGACGGAAGGGCACCACCAGGAGCGGAGCCUGCGGCUUAAUUUGACUCAACACGGGAAAUCUCACCAGGCCCGGACACUGGAAGGAUUGACAGAUUGAGAGCUCUUUCUUGAUUCGGUGGGGUGGUGGUGCAUGGCCGUUUCUUAGAUGGGUGG